AUUCCAUUUAUUUAUAAGUCGCUCUGGAUAAGAGCGUCUGCUAAAUGACUUAAA
Salmo salar (Atlantic salmon) is the source of this 54-nucleotide non-coding RNA. Lineage: Eukaryota; Metazoa; Chordata; Actinopteri; Salmoniformes; Salmonidae. The record is from Rfam.